GAAAACAAAUAUACCACUAUUUUUUAUUUUGAAAUCGAAAAUUUUUUAGAGGUCGCUCAUAGCGCUCAAAGCUUUCCCUGUAUCUUAUAUGGG
Long non-coding RNA from Rhagoletis zephyria (snowberry fruit fly), 93 nucleotides. RefSeq lists it as uncharacterized. Lineage: Eukaryota; Metazoa; Arthropoda; Insecta; Diptera; Tephritidae. The record is from RefSeq and is a predicted model, not a curated record.